This 1423-nucleotide ribosomal RNA is filed under the name metagenome. RNAcentral describes it as "bacterial SSU rRNA". It matches the Rfam family "Bacterial small subunit ribosomal RNA". The record is from RNAcentral.
UUAGCUUAGUGGCGAACGGGUGAGUAACACGUAGGCAACCUGCCCAAAAGAGGGGGAUAACACUUGGAAACAGGUGCUAAUACCGCAUAACCAUGAACACCGCAUGAUGUUCAUGUAAAAGACGGCUUUUGCUGUCACUUUUGGAUGGGCCUGCGCGUAUCAACUUGUUGGUGGGGUAACGGCCUACCAAGGUGAUGAUACGUAGCCGAACUGAGAGGUUGAUCGGCCACAUUGGGACUGAGACACGGCCCAAACUCCUACGGGAGGCAGCAGUAGGGAAUCUUCCACAAUGGACGAAAGUCUGAUGGAGCAACGCCGCGUGAAUGAAGAAGGCCCUCGGGUCGUAAAAUUCUGUUGUCAGAGAAGAACGUGCGUGAGAGUAACUGUUCACGUAUUGACGGUAUCUGACCAGAAAGCCACGGCUAACUACGUGCCAGCAGCCGCGGUAAUACGUAGGUGGCGAGCGUUGUCCGGAUUUAUUGGGCGUAAAGGGAACGCAGGCGGUCUUUUAAGUCUGAUGUGAAAGCCUUCGGCUUAACCGAAGUAGUGCAUUGGAAACUGGAAGACUUGAGUGCAGAAGAGGAGAGUGGAACUCCAUGUGUAGCGGUGAAAUGCGUAGAUAUAUGGAAGAACACCAGUGGCGAAAGCGGCUCUCUGGUCUGUAACUGACGCUGAGGUUCGAAAGCGUGGGUAGCAAACAGGAUUAGAUACCCUGGUAGUCCACGCCGUAAACGAUGAGUGCUAAGUGUUGGAGGGUUUCCGCCCUUCAGUGCUGCAGCUAACGCAUUAAGCACUCCGCCUGGGGAGUACGGUCGCAAGACUGAAACUCAAAGGAAUUGACGGGGGCCCGCACAAGCGGUGGAGCAUGUGGUUUAAUUCGAAGCAACGCGAAGAACCUUACCAGGUCUUGACAUCUUCUGACAAUUCCAGAGAUGGAACGUUCCCUUCGGGGACAGAAUGACAGGUGGUGCAUGGUUGUCGUCAGCUCGUGUCGUGAGAUGUUGGGUUAAGUCCCGCAACGAGCGCAACCCUUAUUGUCAGUUGCCAUCAUUAAGUUGGGCACUCUGGCGAGACUGCCGGUGACAAACCGGAGGAAGGUGGGGAUGACGUCAAAUCAUCAUGCCCCUUAUGACCUGGGCUACACACGUGCUACAAUGGACGGUACAACGAGUCGCUAACUCGCGAGGGCAAGCUAAUCUCUUAAAGCCGUUCUCAGUUCGGAUUGCAGGCUGCAACUCGCCUGCAUGAAGUCGGAAUCGCUAGUAAUCGCGAAUCAGCAUGUCGCGGUGAAUACGUUCCCGGGCCUUGUACACACCGCCCGUCACACCAUGAGAGUUUGUAUCACCCAAAGUCGGUGGGGUAACCUUUUGGAGCCAGCCGCCUAAGGUGGGACAGAUGAUUGGGGUGAAGUCGUAACAAGGUA